Molecule: long non-coding RNA, 3094 nt
Filed under: Pelobates cultripes (western spadefoot toad)
Lineage: Eukaryota; Metazoa; Chordata; Amphibia; Anura; Pelobatidae
Source: RNAcentral
CUCCGCCAUCAGCUCCCAACAGGCUGCGACUCCCCAAGCCUCCUCGGCAACUUCACCACUUCUGCCUGCACUGGCCAGGACUCCCGCCACCGCGAUGACGACUUCCCUUCACGCCUCCUGCCGUCAUCGCGCCCCCCGCCGACAGCGCAGCCUCAAUCCCACCCUGCAAACCCGUGUUCAGGAUGUCUAACCCUAUUUCAUUUAAGUGGACCCCAUCCUUUCUCAUCAAGUCCUGGUUUUCUCCUUCCAGCUCCACGUGUCGGAUGACCGCCCCACCUAGCCGCCGUACAAAUUUCCCCACUGCGAUGUUCAGCUUGCGCCGGCUCUUCUCCAAACCGCGAGAGUGCGGAAGCGCGCGCCAGCACGGCCUGGAAACCACCUCCGACCAAACCAAGGUCAUGUCUGGAAAGAACGCCAUGCACCUUGCCAAGUCGUGCCGAAUCGCGUGGAGAAGGUCCACAGUCCUGGAUACCCCUAAGUCGUUACCGCCCGCGUGGACCACCGCCACCACCGGCCCUGACACAAACUUACGCAGGGCCACGAACUCUGGAUAAAUCUGCUGCCACCGGAGGCCCCUAAUGCCCUUCCACCUUACUCUGGCCACGUCCAACGAAAACCCCAAAUUCCGUCCAUAGGCCCGGCUUUCAACUCGCCUAGCUGCCCAGUACACAUAGGAAUGCCCUAUAAUCCACACGUACUGGGGCCGACCACCUACAACGAGAAGAGAGUUACAGCAUAUGAGGUCGGACAUAAGACUUAAAACGCCCCGACCCCCAUCUUCCAAUCCGUUGAAUUCCCGCAGCCGAGUACCCCAAUACACUCGCCUGGGUAGCCGCCCCGAUCCGAAAGGAAUGGGCCGAAAACCCGUGACCAUCCAUGCCACUCUCCACCAAUGCUCUCUUCAACAUCGCCGAGAACUGAUACCGGGUUAGAGGAGACCCGUCCACGUGAGCUAACAAAGGGCCUCCCCGCUCCGGGCGCACCUCCAGAAAAUCGUGGAAGGCCCCAACCGGACAAACUUCGUCCCUCGUGGCCCCCAAACGAACCCAAGCCCCCCGGGCCGCCUGGUCCGUCUUAGAUCGCCGCACAAAAAUGUCGAUGGUGGAAGUAGACCACCGCACAUCCGACAAUGCCAACGGCGAGGCCUUCCCCUUGCUCGGGGCCACCAAUUCGCCGAUAUGAAAGGCACCAAAAAAGCAGACCGAGAAGGCCACGCAAAACAGCUUCGAUACGUACUCCGAACCACAGACCGUCGGUAGUACUAAAAUAAUCCGUCGCAACAUUUCAGCCGAAAUUGGGCGACGACCAUCCGGGCGACGCCGCAGCCGCCAACCCUUGACCACCCUCUGAAUCCCAUAUUCCUUAGUAACAUCCUGCCAGCCCAUAAAGCGAAACAGGAACGACAGGGCAGCCAACGCCUUCUUCGCUGCAGCGCAGGACCUACCUCUCCUGACCAAGUCAUCCAGCAACACGAGCGUCCUCUCCGCACGACCCGAUUCCGUGGACACAUCCCCGUCCCAUGCUGAUGACAGCCACUGCCUCCACACUGCCCGGUAUGCCUUCCAGGAAGACUCCGCCAAGGAAUCUGAUACCAAGCCCAUCAGACCUCGAAAUCGAGCUUCCAUAAGGAGUCUGGACACCGCAGACCGGUCCGCUGCGCCUCUGGCGCUGCCUCGCGAAACCACUCCCACUGCAAGCGAGACAAUGCAUCAGCCAUCACGUUCUGAACACCCGGGACAUGCUGCGCCCGCACCCAAACAUUAAACUUAAGACUAAGGAGCACGAGGUGACGGAGAAGAGCCAAAACUGGUGGAGACGAGGAGGACGAACGGGCAAUCACAUGAACCACACUCAUGUUGUCCGUGUGAAAGACCACCGUGUGAUUUCUCAGAUCCUCGCCCCACAGCUCCAGCGCGACCACUAUCGGAAACAGUUCCAAAAAGGUCAAAUUCCUCCUCAAUAAGGAAGACCGCCAAUCCUCCGGGCACUCCCCCGCGCACCACUGACCCCGAAAAUACGCUCCAAAACCAACGGACCCCGAGGCAUCGGUAAAGAGAUCCAACGCGGCAUUGGAGGUGGCCUCCCGCAACCAACAAGAAUGCCCGUUAUAACUACGUAGGAAGGAGCUCCACACCGUCAGAUCUGACCGGAGGCGCCUCGUGAUCCGAAUGUAAUGGAAGGGUUCCCUCACCCCCACCGUGGACAAGGACAACCUGCGACAAAAUGCCCGACCCAUCGGUAACACCCGACAUGCGAAAACCAAGUGCCCCAAAAGGCCCUGCAUCUGUCGCAACUGAACCUUCUUGGAACCUUUGACCAAGUCCACUAACCGAAGCAACCCCUCCAACUUCUCCUCAGGAAGCCGGAAGACCAUGCUCUCGGUAUCGAUUUCGAUACCCAAGAACGAAAGAACCAACACCGGGCCGACCGUUUUUUGUUCCGAAACAGGAACCCCGAACUCCGAAGGCCCGAAGCAACACCAUACAAUCCUGGGAACCCGACGGACCGACAAACAAAAAAUCGUCCAAGUAAUGGGUCAGAGACCCCAAACCCGAAACUCUAGACGUGACCCACUCCAAAAAGGAAGAAAACAGUUCGAAAUAAGAACAAGAUAUAGCGCAACCCAUAGGCAUGCACAUAUCAUAAUAGAAGCAACCGUUCGCGAAACACCCCAACAAGUGAAAACAAUCCGGAUGAACCAGCAACAAACGAAAGGCCGAUUCAAUAUCCGAUUUUGCCAAUAAAGCCCCACGACUGGCCCGCCGCAGGAGUAGCAAGGCCGAGUCAAAGGACGCAUAACGCACCCUGCACGCAUCCCUGUAAAUGUCAUCGUUGACCGACGCCCCCGAAGGGUACAAGAGAUGGUGAAUCAACCGAAAGGUUCCCGGGUCUUUUUUGGGUACCAGACCCAACGGAGACACCCUCAGGUUGUGGAAUGGGGGGGAAUCAAAGGGACCGGCCAUGCGGCCCCGUUGAAUCUCCGCCUCCAGCUUUUCCUGCAAUAAACCCUCCCUACCCUGCGUGGACCGAAGAUUCCCAGCAAACCGGCCCUCGUCCGACAGCACAAAGGGAAUCCAGAAACCUAUUGUAAAAC